This 349-nucleotide unclassified non-coding RNA is filed under the name Actinia tenebrosa (Australian red waratah sea anemone). RNAcentral describes it as "beta-2 adrenergic receptor-like, transcript variant X1". Lineage: Eukaryota; Metazoa; Cnidaria; Anthozoa; Actiniaria; Actiniidae. The record is from RNAcentral.
GAAAUCUUAUAACAGCCGCCUUCAAGACAGCUAGCGAGAGAGAUGAAUUGAUAGCUCAAUAUAUAUUUGCCUGGGGUCAUUUGUAUUUGUUUCCGACGUGACAUUCAGGAGAGUUCCGACAGAAAAAAGCUGUCAAACGAGCAAGAUUUAAGCUAGUGACAAGCAAGCAAGGAGCCACAUCAGAGAGGAAAGUCCACCGUGAAAAAGACGGAAUAGACAGCUUGCUAUUAACAACGCUUUACGCACUUUGAUCAAGGAGUUGUCCGUCUAGUUCUGCUUGUCCGCAAAAAAACUCAACGUAAAGAGGUAGCCGCGAAGAUUGCUCGCAGCACUUCAAGACCGGCCUAAC